Molecule: ribosomal RNA, 494 nt
Filed under: uncultured bacterium
Lineage: Bacteria
Description: partial 16S ribosomal RNA
Rfam family: Bacterial small subunit ribosomal RNA
Source: RNAcentral
GACGAACGCUGGCGGCGUGCUUAAUACAUGCAAGUCGAACGGUGAGGCGCCUUCCUUUCUGGUGGGUUUGGAUGUGCGGCCAACGGGUGAGUAAGACGUGAGUACACCGCCCCUUUCUUCUGGAUAACCGCAUGAAGGUGUGGCUAUUCCGGGAUAUUUUGGGUCUGUUGCUUGAUGGGUGUGGGACGGAUGUUGUUUCGCUGGGGGAUGGGCUCGCGCCGUAUCAGCUUGUUGGUGGGGUGAGGGCCUACCAAGGCGAUGAAGGGUAGCCGGCCUGAGAUGGUGGACGGCCAGACUAAGACGACGCCGCGGCGCAGACUCCUAGGGGAGGCAGCAGUGAGGAAUAUUGCACAAUGGACGGAAGGCUGAUGCAGCGACGCCUCGUGAGGGAUGGAGGCCUGCGCGUUGUAAACCUCUUUCGCCGGUGAAGCAGGCCUGCCUCGGUUGUGGGUGGGUUGACGGUAGCUAGAUAAGAAGCGCCGGCUAACUACGUG